This is a long non-coding RNA of Ipomoea nil (Japanese morning glory), 127 nucleotides long. RefSeq lists it as uncharacterized. The transcript has 3 exons. NCBI's taxonomy places the organism in Eukaryota, Viridiplantae, Streptophyta, Magnoliopsida, Solanales, Convolvulaceae. The record is from RefSeq and is a predicted model, not a curated record.
UCAUUCUAAGUAGUAUAUUAGAAUCAUUUUUUUUAGGGUCUCUGCGUGAACCAUUGUGCUACAAACUCGCUUUAUAUUAUACCACCUCAUCAUUCUUAUUUUCCUUCCACACCAUUUAUUUUGGGUG